GACGAACGCUGGCGGCGUGCUUAACACAUGCAAGUCGAACGGUGAAGCUCCAGCUUGCUGGAGUGGAUCAGUGGCGAACGGGUGAGUAACACGUGAGCAACCUGCCCCUGACUCUGGAAUAAGCACUGGAAACGGCGUCUAAUACUGGAUACGAGAAGGGUCCGCAUGGGCACUUUCUGGAAAGUUUUUCGGUUGGGGAUGGGCUCGCGGCCUAUCAGCUUGUUGGUGAGGUAAUGGCUCACCAAGGCGACGACGGGUAGCCGGCCUGAGAGGGCGACCGGCCACACUGGGACUGAGACACGGCCCAGACUCCUACGGGAGGCAGCAGUGGGGAAUAUUGCACAAUGGGCGAAAGCCUGAUGCAGCGACGCCGCGUGAGGGAUGACGGCCUUCGGGUUGUAAACCUCUUUCAGCAGGGAAGAAGCGAAAGUGACGGUACCUGCAGAAGAAGCACCGGCUAACUACGUG
RNAcentral lists this ribosomal RNA (468 nucleotides) under uncultured bacterium. RNAcentral describes it as "partial 16S ribosomal RNA". It matches the Rfam family "Bacterial small subunit ribosomal RNA", at positions 28 to 507 of the family's 1533-position model. The record is from RNAcentral.